UACGGAGGGUGCGAGCGUUGUCCGGAUUUACUGGGCAUAAAGAGCGCGCAGGCGGUCGUUCAAGUCGAGUGUGAAAGCCCCCGGCUCAACUGGGGAGGGUCACUCGAUACUGAUCGACUCGAAGGCAGGAGAGGGUAGUGGAAUUCCCGGUGUAGUGGUGAAAUGCGUAGAUAUCGGGAGGAACACCAGUGGCGAAGGCGACUACCUGGCCUGUUCUUGACGCUGAGGCGCGAAAGCUAGGGGAGCAAACGGG
This 253-nucleotide ribosomal RNA is filed under the name uncultured bacterium. RNAcentral describes it as "partial 16S ribosomal RNA". It matches the Rfam family "Bacterial small subunit ribosomal RNA", at positions 524 to 776 of the family's 1533-position model. The record is from RNAcentral.